GAGUUUGAUCAUAGCUCAGAUUGAACGCUGGCGGCAGGCUUAACACAUGCAAGUCGAGCGGAGAUGAGGUGCUUGCACCUUAUCUUAGCGGCGGACGGGUGAGUAAUGCUUAGGAAUCUGCCUAUUAGUGGGGGACAACAUUCCGAAAGGGAUGCUAAUACCGCAUACGUCCUACGGGAGAAAGCAGGGGAUCUUCGGACCUUGCGCUAAUAGAUGAGCCUAAGUCGGAUUAGCUAGUUGGUGGGGUAAAGGCCUACCAAGGCGACGAUCUGUAGCGGGUCUGAGAGGAUGAUCCGCCACACUGGGACUGAGACACGGCCCAGACUCCUACGGGAGGCAGCAGUGGGGAAUAUUGGACAAUGGGGGGAACCCUGAUCCAGCCAUGCCGCGUGUGUGAAGAAGGCCUUAUGGUUGUAAAGCACUUUAAGCGAGGAGGAGGCUACUGAGACUAAUACUCUUGGAUAGUGGACGUUACUCGCAGAAUAAGCACCGGCUAACUCUGUG
RNAcentral lists this ribosomal RNA (504 nucleotides) under uncultured microorganism. RNAcentral's name for it is "bacterial SSU rRNA". It matches the Rfam family "Bacterial small subunit ribosomal RNA", at positions 9 to 507 of the family's 1533-position model. The record is from RNAcentral.